This is a ribosomal RNA of Lycium ferocissimum, 118 nucleotides long. Lineage: Eukaryota; Viridiplantae; Streptophyta; Magnoliopsida; Solanales; Solanaceae. The record is from RefSeq and is a predicted model, not a curated record.
GGAUGUGAUCAUACCAGCACUAACGCUCUGGAUCCCAUCAGAACUCCGAAGAUAAGCACGCUUGGGCGAGAGUAGUAAUUGGAUGGGUGACCCCUAGGAAGUCCUCGUGUUGCAUCCA